This 720-nucleotide ribosomal RNA is filed under the name uncultured bacterium. RNAcentral's name for it is "bacterial SSU rRNA". It matches the Rfam family "Bacterial small subunit ribosomal RNA", at positions 159 to 857 of the family's 1533-position model. The record is from RNAcentral.
GACGCUAAUACCGCAUGACAUCCUGCCUUUGAAGAGGUGGAGCUUAAAGCUGGGGAUCGCAAGACCUAGCGCUUAAAGAGGGGCCCGCGCCUGAUUAGCUAGUUGGUGAGGUAACGGCUCACCAAGGCAACGAUCAGUAUCCGGCCUGAGAGGGCGGACGGACACACUGGGACUGAGACACGGCCCAAACUCCUACGGGAGGCAGCAGUGGGGAAUUGUUCGCAAUGGGCGCAAGCCUGACGACGCAACGCCGCGUGGAGGAUGAAGACCUUCGGGUCGUAAACUCCUUUCGAUCGAGACGAACGGCUUCCGGGUGAACAAUCCGGAAGAGUGACGGUACCGAGAGAAGAAGCCCCGGCUAACUCCGUGCCAGCAGCCGCGGUAAUACGGGGGGGGCAAGCGUUGUUCGGAAUUACUGGGCGUAAAGGGCUCGUAGGCGGCCAACUAAGUCAGACGUGAAAUCCCUCGGCUUAACCGGGGAACUGCGUCUGAUACUGGAUGGCUUGAGAUUGGGAGAGGGAUGCGGAAUUCCAGGUGUAGCGGUGAAAUGCGUAGAUAUCUGGAGGAACACCGGUGGCGAAGGCGGCAUCCUGGACCAACACUGACGCUGAGGAGCGAAAGCCAGGGGAGCAAACGGGAUUAGAUACCCCGGUAGUCCUGGCCCUAAACGAUGAAUGCUUGGUGUGGCGGGUAUCGAUCCCUGCCGUGCCGAAGCUAACG